RNAcentral lists this ribosomal RNA (465 nucleotides) under uncultured bacterium. Its description in RNAcentral is "partial 16S ribosomal RNA". It matches the Rfam family "Bacterial small subunit ribosomal RNA", at positions 338 to 795 of the family's 1533-position model. The record is from RNAcentral.
CCUACGGGAGGCAGCAGUGGGGAAUAUUGCGCAAUGGGCGAAAGCCUGACGCAGCGACGCCGCGUGAGGGAUGAAGGUCUUCGGAUCGUAAACCUCUGUCAGCAGGGAAGCACGGUCACUGUGCUAAUCAGCAGUGAAUUGACGGUACCUGCAAAGGAAGCACCGGCUAACUCCGUGCCAGCAGCCGCGGUAAUACGGAGGGUGCGAGCGGUAAUCGGAAUUACUGGGCGUAAAGCGCUCGUAGGCGGUAUGUCAAGUCAAGGGUGAAAUCCCCGCGCUCAACGUGGGAACUGCCUUUGAAACUGACAAACUGGAGUGUGUGAGAGGAUAGUGGAAGUCCAGGUGUAGGAGUGAAAUGCGUAGAUAUCUGGAGGAACAUCGGUGGCGAAGGCGACUAUCUGGCACAUAACUGACGCUGAGGAGCGAAAGCGUGGGUAGCAAACAGGAUUAGAUACCCGAGUAGUC